This 1245-nucleotide long non-coding RNA is filed under the name Ananas comosus (pineapple). RNAcentral's name for it is "long non-coding RNA (ACOM_LNC038877)". Lineage: Eukaryota; Viridiplantae; Streptophyta; Magnoliopsida; Poales; Bromeliaceae. The record is from RNAcentral.
AGGGGUUUUGAUCUAAAUUGAUCAUGUAUAAACCUAAUUGCUAGGUUUUCUGACGCGUUGGCGAAGUCGGUUCGGCGAUACGAUGAGCGUACGCGAAGAUAUUAAAGAAUGAAGCCGUUAAGGUACAGAUUGCCGCAGCUUGCGGCGAAAGCUUCCAAAAAUCAUGAAAAUGGAAUUGUAGCAUCGUGGUAUCGGGGAAUAAACUCCAGAAUAGACGGAUCGCGGAUUGGUGGCCGUUCGGGUGGUCGCGCAAGAGUUUGGCCCGAACCGGAUCACGAGUGCCGCGGGAAGCCGAUUGUAAGUGUCGACAAGCAAUCGGAACGCGAUAAAAGGUGGGGGGUGUCCAUCCCGAAGCAACUGAGCUUCCUUUUAUGUCUAAGUUCUAUAUCUUGAUCAUAUUCCUAUAUGUUGAUAUAUUGUGCAUUAUAGGAUUAGUAGAUGAUUACAUUUCCAUUCCUUGCAUGUUACCUAGGUUGUGUAGCAUUGUGGGCUUGACACUUGAUCUUAGGUUGCAUGAGGAUUGGGUCUUGUGACAAGAAUCCUAUAGUGACAAGAAUGAUGAUGAACUUGGACAUGUAAUUGGCCUAGAUGAGUGGCAAUUGGACUAGUCUAAUAAUGACUAUAAUAUUGACGAGUGGCAUGUUGAUUUAGUGUAUUAAGACACAUAUAACAUCAUGACAUAAACGAGUGGCAUCAAAUCUAGUGUAGUGGAACACUAUGGCAUUUGAACCUAGGGAUAGUAGAUUUUUCCGAUUGUCAUAUUGUAGACAUUAUGCAUUUGGCAUUAGUGCAUUUGAGGCAUUAAUUAUGCAUUUGGUAUUGUGCAGCAGAGGCACAUUGAUUAUGCAUUUGGUAUUGUGCAGCAGAGGCAUGAACACUAUGACAUUUGAACCUAGGGAUAGUAGAUUUUUCCGAUUGUCAUAUUGUGAACAUUAUGCAUUUGGCAUUAGUGCAUUUGAGGCAUUGAUUAUGCAUUUGGUAUUGUGCAGCAGAGGCACAUUGACCCUGGCACAUUGAUUAUGCAUUUGGUAUUGUGCAGCAGAGGCACAUUGACCCUGGUAGAUAGGGUAUCCUCUUGUGAGGAUUGGAUCAUACUCACUAGUCUGUUCUUGCUUGUCGGUGGUCGCUCCAACGAAGCACGAGUCUCCGGAGUACUUCACUAGGGGCAGACGUAGUUGUCCCGCAGACGGUCUCGGUGUGCGAGUGCAGAUUCUCCUCACCUAUGAGAUUGAGAGUGAGUCGAGG